This 699-nucleotide ribosomal RNA is filed under the name Triticum aestivum (bread wheat). RNAcentral's name for it is "partial small subunit ribosomal RNA". The record is from RNAcentral. Lineage: Eukaryota; Viridiplantae; Streptophyta; Magnoliopsida; Poales; Poaceae.
AUGAAGCACGAGGCGUUGGAGUUUGACUCGAAGACGCAAGAGUCUGAGCUUGCCGCGGCCCUCGAGAGCGCAAAGAGUGCCAAGGCCGAAGCCCAAAAGGCCCUCCAAGAGAUUGACGCGAUGAAGAAAAUAGCGGCGGGUAAGGCAUUCUAUAUGCAAAGCAAGCAUGUGAGAGUAAAUUACCUAUUACUUACCCGAAUCCGGAGCUCUCCAGGAGCAUUCGCAGAUUUUCCCCACAGCAUGUCGGAUGCCGCACAGUUUUACCAGGCCGAGGAGGGAAGCUCAACGGAGAAGCUGUUCUGGUCUCAGUAUACUAGGACCGAACACCCGAUGCCUCUGAGCGACCAGCUAAAGCAGCUGGUCGAGAUACAAAAGGCGGCCGAACAUGCCAUGAAGGGCCUUAUAGUCCGGCUGUGGCCUGGCGACGCCCUUCUGAACAGCUACUUAGGUCUGGUGAGGCGGCUUGUGGAUGCCUGCCCACGGCUGGAAGUCGUCAAGUGGUCCAUCUGCAUCGAAGGUGCACGCCGGGCUUUCGACUGUGUGAAGGUGCAAUGGGCCAAGCUAGACAUCGUGAAGCUGAUCAAGGAAGGACCGUCGCGGGGCAAGGAGCAUCACACCCCUGAAAUUUAUUAUGAGGGUGUCCUAAAGGGUGCCCAUCUUGUAGCGGACGAAUGUCCAAAGGAUGUAAUAUUUGAGUAA